CAGGUGUCCACUAGCUUCUGGAACAUGGCAGAGAAGAAAUGGGCCAGUUUAUUUACGAGAUUUGAUUGGGAGGAUGGUUGCCAACUACACCCUUUCUCCUAUCAGAAGGAUAAGAAACAGGUGUUUCGAAAGUGCCCAUGGCCAUAAGGGAGAAAGAGCACCAGACCAUCUGAAUAACGUGAAAGUGGACACAGGAAACACCAGACACCCAGAGAAAUGGAGUCCAAAUGUGAGUACUUCAU
Homo sapiens (human) is the source of this 242-nucleotide long non-coding RNA. Ensembl annotates it as GRM5 antisense RNA 1. Its record names the gene GRM5-AS1. Lineage: Eukaryota; Metazoa; Chordata; Mammalia; Primates; Hominidae. The record is from Ensembl.